AGAAUCAACGCUGGCGGCGUGCCUAACACAUGCAAGUCGCACGAGAAAGGGGAGCAAUCCCUGAGUACAGUGGCGCACGGGUGAGUAACACGUGAAUUAUCUACCUCCGAGUGGGGAAUAACCAAAGAAAUUUUGGCUAAUACCGCAUAACACUUACGAGUCAAAGCAGCAAUGCGCUUGGAGAGGAGUUCGCGGCAGAUUAGCUAGUUGGCGGGGUAAUGGCCCACCAAGGCGAUGAUCUGUA
This 244-nucleotide ribosomal RNA is filed under the name uncultured bacterium. RNAcentral's name for it is "partial small subunit ribosomal RNA". It matches the Rfam family "Bacterial small subunit ribosomal RNA", at positions 26 to 285 of the family's 1533-position model. The record is from RNAcentral.